GGUUGACCUCGGAUCAGGUAGGGAUACCCGCUGAACUUAAGCAUAUCAAUAAGCGGAGGAAAAGAAACCAACAGGGAUUGCCUCAGUAACGGCGAGUGAAGCGGCAAGAGCUCAAAUUUGAAAGCUGGCCCCCUCGGGGUCCGCGUUGUAAUUUGCAGAGGAUGCUUCGGGUGCAGCCCCCGUCUAAGUGCCCUGGAACGGGCCGUCAUAGAGGGUGAGAAUCCCGUCUGGGACGGGGUGUCUGCGUCCGUGUGAAGCUCCUUCGACGAGUCGAGUUGUUUGGGAAUGCAGCUCUAAAUGGGUGGUAAAUUUCAUCUAAAGCUAAAUACUGGCCGGAGACCGAUAGCGCACAAGUAGAGUGAUCGAAAGAUGAAAAGCACUUUGAAAAGAGAGUUAAACAGCACGUGAAAUUGUUGAAAGGGAAGCGUUUGCGACCAGACUCGCCCGCGGGGUUCAGCCGGCAUUCGUGCCGGUGUACUUCCCCGUGGGCGGGCCAGCGUCGGUUUGGGCGGCCGGUCAAAGGCCCUCGGAAUGUAUCACCUCUCGGGGUGUCUUAUAGCCGAGGGUGCAAUGCGGCCUGCCCGGACCGAGGAACGCGCUUCGGCUCGAACGCUGGAGUAAUGGUCGUAAAUGACC
Molecule: ribosomal RNA, 636 nt
Filed under: Aspergillus lentulus
Lineage: Eukaryota; Fungi; Ascomycota; Eurotiomycetes; Eurotiales; Aspergillaceae
Description: eukaryotic LSU rRNA
Rfam family: Eukaryotic large subunit ribosomal RNA
Source: RNAcentral